GUGGAUGUAGCUCAGGGGCACAGAGCCUGCCUGGCAAGCAGGAGACCCUGAGUUCGAUUCCCAGUAGCCAGA
This 72-nucleotide transfer RNA is filed under the name Heterocephalus glaber (naked mole-rat). It matches the Rfam family "tRNA". Rfam says of the family: Transfer RNA (tRNA) molecules are approximately 80 nucleotides in length. Their secondary structure includes four short double-helical elements and three loops (D, anti-codon, and T loops). The record is from Rfam by way of RNAcentral. Lineage: Eukaryota; Metazoa; Chordata; Mammalia; Rodentia; Bathyergidae.